Molecule: ribosomal RNA, 305 nt
Filed under: uncultured bacterium
Lineage: Bacteria
Description: bacterial SSU rRNA
Rfam family: Bacterial small subunit ribosomal RNA
Source: RNAcentral
UUUCCCUACGGGGGGCAGCAGUCGGGAAUAUUGCGCAAUGGAGGAAACUCUGACGCAGUGACGCCGCGUAUAGGACGAAGGUCUUCGGAUUGUAAACUAUUGUCGUUAAGGAAGAGAAAGGACAGUACCUAAGGAGGAAGCUCCGGCUAACUACGUGCCAGCAGCCGCGGUAAUACGUAGGGAGCAAGCGUUAUCCGGAUUUAUUGGGUGUAAAGGGUGCGUAGACGGGUUAAUAAGUUAGUUGUGAAAUCCCUCGGCUCAACUGAGGAACUGCAACUAAAACUGUUAGUCUUGAGUGUUGGAGG